GAUGAAGAACGUAGCGAAAUGCGAUAAGUAGUGUGAAUUGCAGAAUUCAGUGAAUCAUCGAAUCUUUGAACGCACAUUGCGCCCUUUGGUAUUCCUUAGGGCAUGCCUGUUCGAGCGUCAUUUAAACCUUCAAGCUCAGCUUGGUGAUGGGUGACUGUCCUCCCCUCGCGGGGGGACUCGCCUCAAAAACAUUGGCGGCCGGUACAUUGGCUUCGAGCGCAGCAGAAACGCGGUCUCGAGUCCGGUGGAUCGGCUCCCAUAAGUCUAUUCUUUUAUUUUGACCUCGGAUCAGGUAGGGAUACCCGCUGAACUUAAGCAUAUCAAUAAGCGGAGGA
Molecule: unclassified non-coding RNA, 335 nt
Filed under: soil metagenome
Description: partial contains 5.8S ribosomal RNA, internal transcribed spacer 2, and large subunit ribosomal RNA
Rfam family: 5.8S ribosomal RNA (bases 1-120)
Source: RNAcentral